Molecule: non-coding RNA, 26 nt
Filed under: Rattus norvegicus (Norway rat)
Lineage: Eukaryota; Metazoa; Chordata; Mammalia; Rodentia; Muridae
Source: RNAcentral
CAGGAAGACUGCUGUUCCUCUGAGUG